RNAcentral lists this long non-coding RNA (1128 nucleotides) under Vombatus ursinus (common wombat). RNAcentral's name for it is "lncRNA (ENSVURG00010014652.1)". Lineage: Eukaryota; Metazoa; Chordata; Mammalia; Diprotodontia; Vombatidae. The record is from RNAcentral.
CGUGGACCAGUUUUUUCCCCUCAUCCAGCUGGCACUUUUUCUCUUGGGAGGAGUUGUUUUCCCUUAGGGAAAAUACAAAGGGCACCUCCACACCCAUACUAAGACACAUGAAGUCUGCUGGUAUUUAAAGGCUGACAAAUUUAGCUUGCUGAUCCUUGCUGUUGCACAGACUGAGAGCACCUGAUAUCACCAGCAUGAAAUUCCCCAGCCUCUCCAGCCUGCUGUAUAUUCUGUUUCUGUGUUUGUUAGCCUUCUCUACAGAAGGCUUGUGGCAUCAUUGGUAUAGGGGACUUCAGGUGCAAGACGAGUUAGACACCAGAAAGUUCUCUGCUGCCAGAAUGCUCCAAACCAUGUGCUCAGGAGUUUGAAAGGGAGAAAUCCAAAAAUGGCACCGCUCCACAAAUUUUGUAAAGGCAGAGUCAGUUCUCUUUGUAAGAGGAUCCCUGGGGCACUUCCUCAGAUAUAACCCACCAGAACAGGAGACCACAAAAGAAGGCAAAGACCAAGAGACCUUCUCUGACCUCCAAGUUAACAAGGCUGCUUUUUGCUUUCAACCUGAAGCCCCUCACCCUUCAAAGGGGAUUCAUCCCUCUCCAAGCUGCAUCGUGCUGACAAAGAUCAAUCUUGGAUGAACCCCUGCACCCAACUCCCAAAGGCCACCCAUUCAGUCAUUGAGUCUCAAUCACCCUUCGGCCAGUUGUGUUUGCUCUGCCCAGGGAAAGCAUGAGACUGAAAGCUUCUGUAGCUGUCUGUGCCAAGGAUACUCAGAUUAUAGUAUCUCUGCCCCUCUCUGGCAUUGUCACUUAACUGAUCCUGACCUCCUGUUCUUUAUGCUUUAAGUUUGUCAUACAUAGUUUGUCAUACGUGUAACUAAUGAAUGAAUCACAGGUUUGAAACUCCUGUGUAGUUCCUGUGUGCUAAAUCCCCAAAGAGCAAGCACAAAGAGUUCUGUUACUGGGCAUGUGCCAUCGGACAGUAUCAGCACUCACCUUAUAGCUAACAGUGUUUGAUUUUACUUCUACUAUACAGGGCUUUGCAAUUUGAGGGCUGGCUGAGGUCCUGGAAAGGGGAUCAUAAUCAUAAUUGUGCAAUACAGUGGAAUAAAGCUCUGUGUUUAGCACUGUGCCA